GAUGAACGCUAGCGGCAGGCCUAACACAUGCAAGUCGAGGGAGAGGUUAUCUUCGGGUAACCAAAACCGGCGCACGGGUGCGUAACGCGUAUACAAUCUGCCUUUCACAUAGGGAUAGCCCGAAGAAAUUUGGAUUAAUACCUAAUGGUAUAUAGGAGCGGCAUCGUUUUUAUAUUAAAGCUACGGUGGUGAAAGAUGAGUAUGCGUUCUAUUAGCUAGUUGGAGAGGUAACGGCUCCCCAAGGCGACGAUAGAUAGGGGUUCUGAGAGGGAUGUCCCCCACACUGGUACUGAGAUACGGACCAGACUCCUACGGGAGGCAGCAGUGAGGAAUAUUGGACAAUGGUCGGAAGACUGAUCCAGCCAUGCCGCGUGCAGGAUGAAGGUCCUAUGGAUUGUAAACUGCUUUUGUAAGGGAAGAAUAAGGAGUACGUGUACUUUGAUGACGGUACCUUACGAAUAAGCAUCGGCUAACUCCGUGCCAGCAGCCGCGGUAAUACGGAGGAUGCGAGCGUUAUCCGGAAUCAUUGGGUUUAAAGGGUCCGUAGGCGGGCUGAUAAGUCAGAGGUGAAAGCGCUUAGCUCAACUAAGCAACUGCCUUUGAAACUGUCAGUCUUGAAUGAUUGUGAAGUAUUUGGAAUGUGUAGUGUAGCGGUGAAAUGCUUAGAUAUUACACAGAACACCGAUAGCGCAGGCUGAUUACUCACAAUUUAUUGACCCUCAUGGACGAAAGCGUGGGGAGCGAACCUGAUAGAUACCCUGGUAGUCAAAGGACGAUUUCACGGUGGAUAUAAGUUUAUUAACCCCUCGAACCUCCGGGGGGGUCGCGUCCCCCCUCUGUUCUUUUAAUUUCCGCAAAGUGAGGCUAGCGCAACCAGGCCAGGCCGU
Molecule: ribosomal RNA, 887 nt
Filed under: uncultured Capnocytophaga sp.
Lineage: Bacteria; Pseudomonadati; Bacteroidota; Flavobacteriia; Flavobacteriales; Flavobacteriaceae
Description: bacterial SSU rRNA
Rfam family: Bacterial small subunit ribosomal RNA
Source: RNAcentral